CCUACGGGUGGCAGCAGUGGGGAAUAUUGGGCAAUGGGCGCAAGCCUGACCCAGCAACGCAGCGUGAGGGAAGAAGGCUUUCGGGUUGUAAACUUCUUUUGACAGGGAAGAGUAGAAGACGGUGCCUGACGAAUAAGCGACGGCGAACUACGUGCCAGCAGCCGCGGUAAUACGUAGGUGGCAAGCGUUGUCCGGAUUUACUGGGUGUAAAGGGCGUGUAGCCGGGUUGACAAGUCAGAUGUGAAAUCCUGCGGCUUAACCGUAGAACUGCAUUUGAAACUGUUGAUCUUGAGUACUGGAGAGGCAGGUGGAAUUCCUAGUGUAGCGGUGAAAUGCGUAGAUAUUAGGAGGAACCCCAGUUGCGAAGGCGGUCUGCUGGACCGCUACUGACGGUGAGGCGCGAAAGCGCGGGUAGCAAACAGGAUUAGAUACCCGUGUAGUC
Molecule: ribosomal RNA, 442 nt
Filed under: uncultured bacterium
Lineage: Bacteria
Description: partial 16S ribosomal RNA
Rfam family: Bacterial small subunit ribosomal RNA
Source: RNAcentral